RNAcentral lists this ribosomal RNA (253 nucleotides) under uncultured bacterium. RNAcentral's name for it is "partial 16S ribosomal RNA". It matches the Rfam family "Bacterial small subunit ribosomal RNA", at positions 524 to 776 of the family's 1533-position model. The record is from RNAcentral.
GACGUAGGAUGCAAGCGUUGUCCGGAAUUAUUGGGCGUAAAGAGUUCGUAGGCGGUUACUUAAGUCUGGUGUUAAAUACUGACGCUCAACGUCGGCAUGGCAUUGGAAACUGGGUAGCUAGAGUGUGGUAGAGGUCUCGGGAAUUCCAGGUGUAGCGGUGAAAUGCGUAGAUAUCUGGAGGAACACCGGUGGCGAAAGCGCGAGACUGGGCCAUAACUGACGCUGAGGAACGAAAGCCAGGGGAGCGAAAGGG